Molecule: long non-coding RNA, 1929 nt
Organism: Syngnathus acus (greater pipefish)
Lineage: Eukaryota; Metazoa; Chordata; Actinopteri; Syngnathiformes; Syngnathidae
Exons: 2
Source: RefSeq, a predicted model, not a curated record
UGAUGCUGCAUUAUUAUUGUGCAAGGCACAGCAACAACCACCCCGUUGUUAAUUGCAUUACAACAAGUAGAAGGGCUAUCAACAUCAGCUUUAUGUGACACGCAUUAUGGCUUUACUAGCAUCAAGACAGAGUCAUCAGCCGCCGGCCGGCCGGCCGGUCGCUCGCUCGCUCGGCUGGCUGGCUGGAUGCACCCGGGCGAGGCGCUCAGCGGCGCCGCGACGUGGGAGCCAGGCAGCCGGCGUACACGCCGCAUGCAAAGCGGCCAGUCCGCGGAUGUCCAAACGUGACACGGCAGACCAACAAUAACAAGCCGACUCGCUCGCUUCCAGUUUCCCAUAUGAAGCACCAGCAGCGGCGAGGAACCAGCAGCCAAGCCAGCCAGCCUGCCUGCCUGCCUGCCCUGCCUCCGACGCGACUUCAGCCGCUUAAAGGUUCCGAGGAGGUCAAGCCUAUUGUUAGCAGCUGCUCCUCCGAGCACACGGUGCAACUGAGUGACUGAAUCAACUACCGUGGAGCACGGCAAGUUGAAGUGUCAGAUUACACGGGGCUAUUCGGUUACCACCGCCGAGGAGAGGACCGGGCACAGCGGCGAGGAGGAAAAUGUGAGGCGGACUUCCCCCUUCCACACCCCCGCAUCAGCACGAGGAGUCUGUCUGUCUGCCUGUCUGCCUGCCUGUCUGUCUGCCUGCCUGCUUGUCUGCCUGCCUUGUCGAGCCGGUGGACGGCAGCCUCUACCGGGGAGUAGGAGUGGGCUUCGCGGAGAGACAAAUGCAACACAAUAGCGUCACGUUCUGUCAUUUUCAAGGAUCCACCCUUUUCAGUGGAACUAAAUUCAAGAUCGGAACUGGAAAUGAAACUAUAUUUAAUGUUCACAAUUGCAUGUAUUGUACUAGAACCUGAUAUUUCAUUCUGACUUUGGAUUUUAUGACGUCAUAACAAUGGGCACCACAAUAAACGAACUUGAUUCGUGUCAAUGAAUAUUUAAAUAUUUGUAUGUAUUGGCGGACAUGGAGUCAGGAAUGCAUUAUUCAUAAAUAUAAGUCACUUUCCAAAAAGUCAAAUCUGGCAAGUAAAACCAGUUUCACUUGACAGGCGAAACCAAGUUUUCCGCUGCAGUGGUAGUCUUGUCUGACCAUUAUUACGUCACAGUGUUUUUACAUUUUGCAUACAGUAGAACAUGAAAAACACAUUUGACACGACGGAUUUAACAAGGGCCAAGAUUAAAAAAAGAGAUCACAGGUAAUGCUCUGUUUUGAUGGACACUGUAAUAAACAUAUCAUUCGAUUCUUAUUGUGGUAUGCGGUGGUGUCGAAAUACACUUCAUCAUUCUGACAGCUAGUUUCUAGUAUUGUGGGUGUUUGACUACAUGAGAAAUGCGCAAAAUGCAAUCACGCACUGCAACUAACAAGAAAAAGGAUCAACAUUGAGCAAAGGAGUCAUGACUGCUCAAGUGAAUUAACAACGAAUGGCGUUUAAAGGCAUACUGUUAUUGUUUGCCGUGACACUAAUGAGUAAUUAUACAUUUGGACUAAUUAUAAUUGCCUCUCUGUCAUAUGUCAUCGUAGUUAUUAUCCGAGCAUUCGUUUUCCAUGUUGCUUUUUGUCAUUUGUGGUUCGAAGCCAGGCUACUGAUUGAAUGGCGCAAAAAGACAAACAAUCAUUUGCAUUACGAGUCACCCCAUGGAUGAUUUUGAGACUUCAUGUCAUCUAACAGGCAUGUUUUUCGGAAUGUGGAAGGAAACCGGAGUAACGGGAGUUUUUAGAAUCUUGUAACCAUUUACAAUAGAUGUUAGUUUGAAAUCAAAUUCAUUUGGCUAAAUGCCGUAUUUGUACACUGUAACUACUAUUGCACUGUGACUAUAGUAUAUACAACUGGUAUGUGAUUUAUGUGGGUGAAUUUUUGUCAUGUGAGAAAUAUUGUGCAAGAAU